RNAcentral lists this long non-coding RNA (1567 nucleotides) under Gallus gallus (chicken). Its description in RNAcentral is "lncRNA (ENSGALG00010006925.1)". The record is from RNAcentral. Lineage: Eukaryota; Metazoa; Chordata; Aves; Galliformes; Phasianidae.
GAGCUCUCACUUCUCUGGUCAGGGUUCUGUCUUUCCUCUGUUUUUUAUAGUGAUACGAUGUGUAUCCCUGGACAUCAAGUGCUGCACUGCAAAUUGUCUCACGAUGCUAAGUACCUCAAGUCCAUUCCUCAGACCUGUAAUUAUCUGGUGCGCCUCAAAAGUUACAUUGCAUUGGAUGCUGGUUUUGAAUUUUGAAAAUUAUCUGAUUUAUUACAGUCUGUAUUAUAUGAUUUUAAAAACUGUGUUAUGUGAAUGCCUGGGGAGUUUGUCUACAACAAGACUUUUGUAUGGUUGGACAAACAAACAAACAAAAAAAAACCCAAAACGCCGCCUUAGACAAAAUCAGACUUUUCUUAAACAUCCGUUCUCCAAAAAUAUUCAUUUCUUCCAUAAACCUCAGCUUUUAUGGGAUACAUGUGAGUAGUCUGUGAGAGACGACAAAGGAUGGAACCUUGUGUGCUGAAGGCUUAACGAAGAAGUUCCCACCUGUGAUGCAAAUCUUGGAUUUAGAGAUAUUUUUUUCUGUCCUAUUCCAAAGGGACAUAAGAAACAAACAAACAUACAAAAUGAACCACUAUCACGCUGUCCAGGUUGAUGUUUCAGAUCCUUGCUUGCUCUGUUGUUGUCUCCCUAGCAAGGCUGCCUGCUAGUGCCAACUAUGGUGUGAACACCUCCCUGCUGGGAACAGGAGUGAAACUGCCAUUUUUAAUUGGGACACUGAAUAAUUUGUGGUGAAUAGCCAUGUAUGCUCAUUACUGAUCAAGGAAGAAUUAGAACCAGUGAAAACUUUCUAAUCCCAUAAUCUUGACUCAUCUAUUUAUAUCGCAUUGUACUUUUAUUUUAUUUUACUUUGUUUUGUUUUAUUAUUUUUAGCUGGUCAAGGGGAAGGUUUAACUUCAUUAAACCUAAAAAGCAAUGUGGAUUUCUGGGGAAAAAAUACCUUUUUAGUAUGUUAGAUUUCAGCCACUGUUUGAGAUGCCCUCUCAGACAAAGCAGAUAAUGCAGGAGCAAGUUUCAGUUAAAUAGAGAACAUUCUUGCAUUGUUGAUUACUAAAUAAUAAUCAAGUGUUUUUGGGUUUUGAUUCUCUCUCUUGUUCUCUUAGACUAUUAUUGGAUUGUGGAAUGAACUAUAUAUUUGUGGGAUCUUAAAGAAUCAUCAGGAAUUUGAAGACUUUUGGAUGCUGAUUCCAAAGGGCUGCCACACUUCACAGCUUAAAGAUAAACUUGGGGAUAUAAAAUGAAAAAGAUGGAGGUCGUGAAUGUUUGUUCAUAACUGAAUGUUUAGGGAGUUUAGAUUUAAAAACAAAAGAAAAGGUUUCAAAAACUGGCAGCAACGUGACAGCAAGAAAAAAAAAAGGUGAUGUUCAUGAUUGACUCGGCUGUAGUAUUGAGGUGAUUACUCAAGUACAGUAGUCUUUGUUGGGUUGGGAUGAGAAUUACUGGGACUUUUGGUUGUGAUAAUUUUCAUAAAGCUCACUCAUUUUGAUCCUCUUUAAAGUCAUUGAAAUAUGUUGAUAGUUAAUAUUUUGUUAUCUUGCUCCUUUCUUAAGCAUUCCCUAUUUUUUUU